AACGUUUGGUUGAUCCAGCCAUUACACCGAGCCUCUUGAACGGUUGUGUAUGCUGUUUUGUGCGAUUGUAUUGAACACACAAAACUCGUGUUUUCUGUAUUGUUUAAAAUAAAAUAAUGUAUGGUGUGACAUCUGGAACACAUCAACAGUUUGUUGGUGACCUAAGUCCUCCGUAUGACGGCAGCGAAAUGGAUCUUUUUCCUGAUUUGUCUUUUCUGGAUUCCGUCCAAACUGACUUUUUGAACAACGGCUUCGACGACGAGCUUGCCUCAGCGCCGUACCCGAUCGACAACGCAAUGGACUUCAACGACCAAUGCCAGGCCCAGGCUGAGCUUGUUCCGGAUGUGAAACAAGGUAUUGUUAGCCCAAACAGUAACCCUACUUUAGUGCCUAAAUCAUCGAAAGGAAAAUCUGUAAUCAAGGUGAUGGUUACCUCAUCUAAAGAUGAAAGUGAACUGGUAAAUUUUUUGAUGGGAAAAGCUCAAAAUUGUGGACCAACACCAACGUUAAAAAUCAUAAAGAAAGCGGCAGUGUCUGCGCAACCGGAUUUGAAUCAUGACGUCACUAACACGCCCCACCAAGAAAUGAAAAUUGAUUCCACAAGGCCUGUUAAAGAAAAUGUAAAUGUUAGGCCUAGGCCGGUUAAGUCACAAAAUUUAACCAAGUCUAAAGAAAUGUCUUUGAUAGAACAAUUAGAAAAGGACCUUCAAGUUUGUGAUCCUAUGAAUCGAAAUGCAAUUGCAGCUCGCUUGAAUAGGUUGCGUAAGAAAAACCAUGUCGAAGGUCUCGAAGAAAGUGUUAACAAUUUGAAGACUGAAAAUGCUAAACUGCUUGAAAACAACACUUUUUUGAAUGCUAGGGUUUCUUCACUUGAGACUGAAGUGAGUUAUUUGAAAGGUAUUCUAGCUAAUCAAAGCUCUUUGUCAUUGUUACUAUCAAAUAUCCAAGCAACUAAUCUGAAUUUCCACACAUCAAUGGAGACCAUUGUUGACAAAUCCGAGGACAUUGACUCAAUCACACAAUCAAAGGCUGAAGAAGAAAUUGAUGUAGUGGGCGUAUCAUGUGACCAAAUUAAAGUUCCACUAAAAAGAAAAAGGACACAAACCGAUGAGAGUGAAAACUUGUAUUCUGAACAGAUAGAUAACAAAAUUAUUAAGAAAGAAGGGAAAACUGUACCUAGGAGGAGUAAUGAAGGUGAAAGGAGGAAGUCGGACAGAUUAAUUGAACAGAAAACUGAAUUUUCAAAGGAUAUUCCUCCAACUGCAGGUGUCUGCCUUCAUGUAUCUGGGAAGAAUGUGUCUCUUGAAUUCUGUUAUCAUUGUAGUAGGAGAGCACAGACGACUAUUCAGGUGGAUACGUCGGCUAGCAGUCGAAGGCUGGUCAAAGAUGAAAUCUGACUGAAAGACAAUGUGUUUUUUAAUGAUUUCUGACACUGCUGUUCAAGCUUUUCAACAUCCUGUUAAUUGUACAGUCAACCUGGUAUUCUAUUUAUUCAAAUGGUCGGUAUCAGUCACAUUUUUGUGUGGGUCUGUGCUCUUUCCAUCAUGAAAAACGAGGAAAGCAGAACUACUUCAAUAGAAACUUCAAACACCGGACUUGAUUCAAUUGGCGAAAGCAAAUGAUAUCUGCUGCAAAAUUUCAAAAUUUUUGAAGCGAUUGAGGACUACCUUUAUUCAAAAAGAACUUAAAUUAUUUUAAAUUGCAGUAAAAAAACUGCUUUAAAUUAUACCGCUGCUUUUAAACUCGCAAUGUAUUGCUCUAAAUUUGUUUUUGAAUAAGGCAUUUAUGGACAUUUUUACAUUAGUUUAUUGAAUGUGUUAAAAUAUUUUAAAAAUUCACUAAAAUUGAUAAAUCUAAAGGAAUUAUGAUAAAUUGCAAAGAUAUUUAACAAAAAUAUUUGUUUCUGUAAAUAAUUUUAAUGUAUUUGCACUGAAAUUGUCAAAAUUUAUACAAAAAAGUUAGUGCUGUAUGAUUUUGCUUUUAAUUAUAUAAUUAGUCUACUUGAUUCUUAAAUCUUACUGUAUAUUCGGUAGUCUAUGACAGUUGCGUAUUUUACUCGCAUUAGAAAGUAUAUUCUAAAAAAAUUAUACUAAAUUUGAAAUGUAAAUAAAUUGAUUUCAUUUUAGUGAAAUUUAAUGUUAGAAAUGUCUAUACAAAAAAUGUAAUUAGAAAAAUAUCUAAAUAUUUACAGAAAAUGUUAUUGCUGAAAUGAUUGGACUGAUUACAUUACCAAUCUAUUUAAGAUACAGAUUAUUUUAUAACAUUUGACUAGAUAGUAUUAAAAUUACAUUCUGGAAGUGGAAUUAAAAACAGUCAAAUAUCAUAAUAUUUUACACAAAAAAAGUUGUGUGUGCACUUUCACUAAAUUUUUCAAAUUCGAGUGUCUUUGUUUUUGCUAACAAGAAGCAGCAUACUGUAUUUAAUUUUACAGUAAACAAAUCUGACAUAACAAAUAUAUACAGAUUUUUUCAAGCAGUGUGAUUGUCUUUGAGAAUGAAUGAUUUUAUUUGAUGAAAAUCUUUGGCAAACAAACAAACAAAAUACAUUUAUUUAGACCCUAAUGGUUGUUUGGUUUUAAAGUUCUCUCCAGAAUAAGUACUACCUGACCCUUGCUGAUAUUGGAUGUAUAGGACACAUGUGAAAUCUGCUUUCAAAGCCCUUUGUUUUCUCCACAGAAUAAUUGCAGACUGUUUGCAGUAUAUUCAGUAGCCUGCGCAAAUGCUUGGCCUACCACUUUUUAAGGAGCCAUGACUGAGGCAGUUAGCCUUCGUUGCACCUUGUUGAAGGCUAGCCUGUAAUACUAGUAAGUCUAGAAAAAUUAUGGUAACAUGUAAGUACUGUACUGUAAUGUACAAAAGUAACAUGAUCAUGCAUAGCAGAAAAUAUGAAUAAAGAAAAGGUGGCAUAGGUUUGUAUACUAUAUACAGUUAUAUUACAGUUUAGUUAUGUUCCAGGUUUAGGCUGUUGUCCACUAAGCAAAUUCAUUCGCACAAGACAAAAAGUUUCCCAGUAAAGAAAAUCUUGUAAUCUUGGCGUAUUUUCAACUACAUUAGCAAAAAAGUAUUUUCAAAAACAUUGCUGUGUUGCUAAUUGCAUGCAGUGGUAAUUCAUAGAUUGAUCGUUUCAAUUCUGUGUUCAUUGGCGCAAUUAAUUCUUUUCCCAAAAUGUGGUUAGAUGCAUAUUAUUUUGCUUCACAAAAAGGAACUGUUCGAAUUCGUCAAAGCGAAACACUACAAGCGAAAACGCAAACAAUGUGAAGAAGUAAGAAAUAAUAAGAAUUGAACUGCACAUGUCUACUGUCAAACUCUUGAUUUGCACGAAUAAAUUUGACUAGUAGAAAACAGGCGUUAGUCAAGAUAAUUAAAAGUAUUGUUUAUGUUUAGAGUAAUCUUAACUUUUUUUACCAUUUCUUUAUUCAGUUUUUUAAUUUGAUAAGGAAAAUGAUAAGUGUAUAUAAACAGUGAAUUACCUUUCACAUUAUUUUCAAGUUUCAAAUACUGUAGUAGUUUGGGAAGGGUGUCCAGAUAUGUAUUCUUUCAAAUGUACUUUAAAUUUAGAUUAAAAGUACUUUACAGUAGAUAGUAUAUAAAAAUAUUUCUUAUCAUGCUUAAUACACAGUAAAACCGUGAAGUGUUGCAAAAUUGAGAGGGAAACUGAAAGGUUAGCAAUUAAGAGAACUGUUUGUUCACUUAUAUAUAAAUGUAAAUGGCCCUAAAUAUUGUUGCGUGUUCUGCAUUGCUGUUACGAUAAUUGCAAAGUGUCUGGAUUGGUUUACUUUGAAUAAAUGAAACAACAUUUGAAAGAAAUUGA
RNAcentral lists this unclassified non-coding RNA (3810 nucleotides) under Anneissia japonica. Its description in RNAcentral is "uncharacterized LOC117115516, transcript variant X2". Lineage: Eukaryota; Metazoa; Echinodermata; Crinoidea; Comatulida; Comatulidae. The record is from RNAcentral.